CGAAUGCUGACAUAAGUAACGAUAAAGCGGGUGAAAAGCCCGCUCGCCGGAAGACCAAGGGUUCCUGUCCAACGUUAAUCGGGGCAGGGUGAGUCGACCCCUAAGGCGAGGCCGAAAGGCGUAGUCGAUGGGAAACAGGUUAAUAUUCCUGUACUUGGUGUUACUGCGAAGGGGGGACGGAGAAGGCUAUGUUGGCCGGGCGACGGUUGUCCCGGUUUAAGCGUGUAGGCUGGUUUUCCAGGCAAAUCCGGAAAAUCAAGGCUGAGGCGUGAUGACGAGGCACUACGGUGCUGAAGCAACAAAUGCCCUGCUUCCAGGAAAAGCCUCUAAGCAUCAGGUAACAUCAAAUCGUACCCCAAACCGACACAGGUGGUCAGGUAGAGAAUACCAAGGCGCUUGAGAGAACUCGGGUGAAGGAACUAGGCAAAAUGGUGCCGUAACUUCGGGAGAAGGCACGCUGAUAUGUAGGUGAAGCGACUUGCUCGUGGAGCUGAAAUCAGUCGAAGAUACCAGCUGGCUGCAACUGUUUAUUAAAAACACAGCACUGUGCAAACACGAAAGUGGACGUAUACGGUGUGACGCCUGCCCGGUGCCGGAAGGUUAAUUGAUGGGGUUAGCGGUAACGCGAAGCUCUUGAUCGAAGCCCCGGUAAACGGCGGCCGUAACUAUAACGGUCCUAAGGUAGCGAAAUUCCUUGUCGGGUAAGUUCCGACCUGCACGAAUGGCGUAAUGAUGGCCAGGCUGUCUCCACCCGAGACUCAGUGAAAUUGAACUCGCUGUGAAGAUGCAGUGUACCCGCGGCAAGACGGAAAGACCCCGUGAACCUUUACUAUAGCUUGACACUGAACAUUGAGCCUUGAUGUGUAGGAUAGGUGGGAGGCUUUGAAGUGUGGACGCCAGUCUGCAUGGAGCCGGCCUUGAAAUACCACCCUUUAAUGUUUGAUGUUCUAACGUUGGCCCCUGAUCGGGGUUGCGGACAGUGUCUGGUGGGUAGUUUGACUGGGGCGGUCUCCUCCUAAAGAGUAACGGAGGAGCACGAAGGUUGGCUAAUCCUGGUCGGACAUCAGGAGGUUAGUGCAAUGGCAUAAGCCAGCUUGACUGCGAGCGUGACGGCGCGAGCAGGUGCGAAAGCAGGUCAUAGUGAUCCGGUGGUUCUGAAUGGAAGGGCCAUCGCUCAACGGAUAAAAGGUACUCCGGGGAUAACAGGCUGAUACCGCCCAAGAGUUCAUAUCGACGGCGGUGUUUGGCACCUCGAUGUCGGCUCAUCACAUCCUGGGGCUGAAGUAGGUCCCAAGGGUAUGGCUGUUCGCCAUUUAAAGUGGUACGCGAGCUGGGUUUAGAACGUCGUGAGACAGUUCGGUCCCUAUCUGCCGUGGGCGCUGGAGAACUGAGGGGGGCUGCUCCUAGUACGAGAGGACCGGAGUGGACGCAUCACUGGUGUUCGGGUUGUCAUGC
This 1455-nucleotide ribosomal RNA is filed under the name Escherichia coli. RNAcentral describes it as "partial 23S ribosomal RNA". It matches the Rfam family "Bacterial large subunit ribosomal RNA", at positions 1291 to 2729 of the family's 2925-position model. The record is from RNAcentral. Lineage: Bacteria; Pseudomonadati; Pseudomonadota; Gammaproteobacteria; Enterobacterales; Enterobacteriaceae.